GAGGGUACAGCUCAGUGGUAGAGUGCCUGCUUAGCAUGCAUGAGGUCCUGCGUUAAAUCCCUAGUACCUCCA
This 72-nucleotide transfer RNA is filed under the name Camelus bactrianus (Bactrian camel). It matches the Rfam family "tRNA". Rfam says of the family: Transfer RNA (tRNA) molecules are approximately 80 nucleotides in length. Their secondary structure includes four short double-helical elements and three loops (D, anti-codon, and T loops). Further hydrogen bonds mediate the characteristic L-shaped molecular structure. tRNAs have two regions of fundamental functional importance: the anti-codon, which is responsible for specific mRNA codon recognition, and the 3' end, to which the tRNAs corresponding amino acid is attached (by aminoacyl-tRNA synthetases). tRNAs cope with the degeneracy of the genetic code in two manners: having more than one tRNA (with a specific anti-codon) for a particular amino acid; and 'wobble' base-pairing, i.e. permitting non-standard base-pairing at the 3rd anti-codon position. Lineage: Eukaryota; Metazoa; Chordata; Mammalia; Artiodactyla; Camelidae. The record is from Rfam by way of RNAcentral. RNAcentral also lists the same sequence under 2 other names.